Salmo salar (Atlantic salmon) is the source of this 1461-nucleotide non-coding RNA. Lineage: Eukaryota; Metazoa; Chordata; Actinopteri; Salmoniformes; Salmonidae. The record is from RefSeq and is a predicted model, not a curated record.
GGUCUGCCACUGUGAGGACGAUCAGCUGUCCAUCCUGUCUCCCUGUAGCGCUGUCUAAGGCGUCUCACAGUAUGGACAUUGCAAUUUAUUGCCCUUUCCACAUCUGCAUUCCUCAUGCCUCCUUGCAGCAUGCCUAAGGCAUGUUCACGCAGAUGAGCAGGGACCCUGGGCAUCUUUCUUUUGGUGUUAGUAGAAAGGCCUCAUUUUUAGUGUCCGAAGUUUCCAUAACUGUGACCUUAAUUGCUUACCGUCUGUAAGCUGUUAGUGUCUUAACGACCGUUACACAGGUGCAUGUUCAUGAAUUGUUUAUGGUUCAUUGAACAAGCAUGGGAGGGUCCUGAAAAAGGGACGUUUCUUUUUUUGCCGAGUUUAGAUAUUUCCAGCUACAAUAGUCAUUUACAACAUUAACAAUGUCUAUACUGUAUUUCGGAUCAAUGUGAUGUUAUUUUAAUGGACAAAACAUUUGCUUUUCUUUCAAAAACAAGGACAUUUCUAAGUGACCCCAAACUUUUGAACGGUAGUUUGUGUAUAGGCAUGUAAAUGUUUUUUUACUUUUUAUGAAGUUUUUUUUUUGUGUGUUAUGUUUGUAUUGUUUUGAGAAUCGUGCAAACUGGGGUCCAUUGACCACUGUGACUGAAUGUGAUGCUAAAAUGGUCAAAGACUGGGCAGUCAGAUGAUUUAAAAAUCACCACUUUAAUUUCACCUGUUUACACUCAUUGCACCUUUCUAAUCACUUUCUAGGUAUUAUAUCUGCCUUUUUUAGUGUUAUGUGUGAGAAUGAUCAAAUCUGGCUGCAAUCAAUGGUAUUUCAAUUGCUGUGCGAUUUUAUAAGGGAAUUAUUUGUUGGUCAUGUAACAUGCAUUGAAAGGGCAGUGUCUUCUAUGGCCAAUUCAUACUGUAUUCGGUUGUGAAUCUACCUUAUGUUGCAUUAUGCUGUACAAUAUUUUGUGAACUUGAGGAACCUGUUUUUGUUUUGUUUUUCCUUUGUGAAUAGCCUAUGAUAGAAACUGUGUUGCUUGUUUGACAUUUCAGUCUUCGAACAGAGGGAAAAACAGGUCUGCACCAGAAGCACCAAGUCUGACAGCUGGGAAACCAAAGGAUACAGUUCAGUACCGUUUGAGUCUUGCAAAUGCACCCAACAUGAACAGGAGACUUGCAGUACAAAUCUUCUGCAAGAGGUCGAAGCAGUGGGUGGUGAAGAAAAUCGCCGCAGUGCCAAAGCCUGCUAAACCAGCUGCUACUAGCCAACACAAUAAGAUGUUCACCAGCUGUAGAACCUUCUGGAACCUGCCUGGAACAUUCAACCAACACAACAUCCAUAUUCAGUUAGACUGAUGUUGUAGUAUAUUAUAAAAUGCCUAGUAUGCUCAUAACUGCAUUGUGGUAUAGAUAUUGCUAGCUGUUGUACAUACAGUGCAUUCGGAAAGUAUUCAGACCUCUUGACUUCUUCCACAUUUUAUG